Molecule: transfer RNA, 69 nt
Filed under: Pristaulacus compressus
Lineage: Eukaryota; Metazoa; Arthropoda; Insecta; Hymenoptera; Aulacidae
Description: tRNA-Ser
Source: RNAcentral
CAAUUGAAAUAAAUUAUAUUGAAUUUCUAAUUCAAUUUUUUAUAAGUAAAUUAUUAUUAUUUCUAUUUA